UACUACUGGCAAUGGGCAAGGAGACCCCUGAUUGGUGGUGUUGCUCUUAUAUCAGUCAGGGGUGAAGCAGACAUACAGUACUUAGUUUAUCCUAGUUUGAUACCUGUGUCAGUGGCAAGAGCUAUUUCAUGCCAGGGCAUAUUU
Molecule: non-coding RNA, 144 nt
Organism: Myotis lucifugus (little brown bat)
Lineage: Eukaryota; Metazoa; Chordata; Mammalia; Chiroptera; Vespertilionidae
Source: Rfam